UACAGAGGGUGCGAGCGUUGUCCGGAAUUACUGGGCGUAAAGGGCUCGUAGGCGGCCAACUAAGUCGGAUGUGAAAUCCCCAGGCUUAACCUGGGAACUGCAUCCGAUACUGGAUGGCUUGAAUCCGGGAGAGGGAUGCGGAAUUCCAGGUGUAGCGGUGAAAUGCGUAGAUAUCUGGAGGAACACCGGUGGCGAAGGCGGCAUCCUGGACCGGCAUUGACGCUGAGGAGCGAAAGCCAGGGGAGCAAACGGG
RNAcentral lists this ribosomal RNA (253 nucleotides) under uncultured bacterium. RNAcentral's name for it is "partial 16S ribosomal RNA". It matches the Rfam family "Bacterial small subunit ribosomal RNA", at positions 524 to 776 of the family's 1533-position model. The record is from RNAcentral.